GAUGAACGCUAGCUACAGGCUUAACACAUGCAAGUCGAGGGGAAACGACAUCGAAAGCUUGCUUUUGAUGGGCGUCGACCGGCGCACGGGUGAGUAACGCGUAUCCAACCUGCCCAUCACUUGGGAAUAACCUUGCGAAAGUAAGACUAAUACCCAAUGAUAUCCCACGAAGGCAUCGGAAUGGGAUUAAAGAUUUAUCGGUGAUGGAUGGGGAUGCGUCUGAUUAGCUUGUUGGCGGGGUAACGGCCCACCAAGGCAACGAUCAGUAGGGGUUCUGAGAGGAAGGUCCCCCAGAGUGGAACUGAGACACGGGCCAAACUCCUACGGGAGGCAGCAGUGAGGAAUAUUGGUCAAUGGGCGAGAGCCUGAACCAGCCAAGUAGCGUGCAGGAAGACGGCCCUAUGGGUUGUAAACUGCUUUUAUAAGGGAAUAAAGUGGGUCACGUGUGACUUUUUGCAUGUACCUUAUGAAUAAGGACCGGCUAAUUCCGUG
Molecule: ribosomal RNA, 492 nt
Filed under: uncultured bacterium
Lineage: Bacteria
Description: partial 16S ribosomal RNA
Rfam family: Bacterial small subunit ribosomal RNA
Source: RNAcentral